Molecule: ribosomal RNA, 319 nt
Filed under: Scriptaphyosemion brueningi
Lineage: Eukaryota; Metazoa; Chordata; Actinopteri; Cyprinodontiformes; Nothobranchiidae
Description: partial 12S rRNA
Rfam family: Bacterial small subunit ribosomal RNA
Source: RNAcentral
UCCGCCCGGGGACUACGAGCAAAAGCUUAAAACCCAAAGGACUUGGCGGUGCUUUAGACCCACCUAGAGGAGCCUGUUCUAGAACCGAUAACCCCCGUUAAACCUCACCUUUUCUUGUUAAUUCCGCCUAUAUACCGCCGUCGUCAGCUUACCCUGUAAAGGAAACUUAGUAAACGAAAUUGGCUUAACCCAAAACGUCAGGUCGAGGUGUAGCGAAUGAAAAGGGAAGAAAUGGGCUACAUUUCCUAAUUUAGGAAAUAACGAAAUACGAAAUGAAACAAAGUAUGAAGGAGGAUUUAGCAGUAAAUAGAAAAUAGAG